Molecule: ribosomal RNA, 494 nt
Filed under: uncultured bacterium
Lineage: Bacteria
Description: bacterial SSU rRNA
Rfam family: Bacterial small subunit ribosomal RNA
Source: RNAcentral
AGGACGAACGCUGGCGGCGUGCUUAACACAUGCAAGUCGAACGAAGCAGCAGUGAAGGAGGCUUCGGCCAAUGGAUCUGUUGACUUAGUGGCGGACGGGUGAGUAACGCGUGAGCAACCUGCCUUUCAGAGGGGGAUAACGUUUGGAAACGAACGCUAAUACCGCAUGAUGUACCUUUGCUGCAUGACAGAGGUACCAAAGGAGCAAUCCGCUGAAAGAUGGGCUCGCGUCCGAUUAGAUAGUUGGUGGGGUAACGGCCUACCAAGUCGACGAUCGGUAGCCGGACUGAGAGGUUGAACGGCCACAUUGGGACUGAGACACGGCCCAGACUCCUACGGGAGGCAGCAGUGGGGAAUAUUGCACAAUGGGCGAAAGCCUGAUGCAGCAACGCCGCGUGAGGGAAGACGGUUUUCGGAUUGUAAACCUUUGUCCUUGGUGAAGAUCAUGACGGUAGCCGAGGAGGAAGCCACGGCUAACUACGUGCCAGCAGCCGC